CCUACGGGAGGCAGCAGUGAGGAAUAUUGGUCAAUGGGCGCGAGCCUGAACCAGCCAAGCCGCGUGAAGGAUGAAUGCCCUACGGGUUGUAAACUUCUUUUGUAAGGGAGUAAAGUGAGGCACGUGUGCCUUUUUGUAUGUACUUUAUGACUAAGCAUCGGCUAACUCCGUGCCAGCAGCCGCGGUAAUACGGAGGAUCCGAGCGUUAUCCGGAUUUAUUGGGUUUAAAGGGAGCGUAGAUGGGUUGGUAAGUCAGUUGUGAAAGUUUGCGGCUCAACCGUAAAAUUGCAAUUGAUACUGGAAGUCUUGAGUACAGGUGAGGUAGGCGGAAUUCGUGGUGUAGCGGUGAAAUGCUUAGAUAUCACGAAGAACUCCGAUUGCGAAGGCAGCUUACUAAACUGCCACUGACAUUGAUGCUCGAAAGUGUGGGUAUCAAACAGGAUUAGAUACCCCAGUAGUC
RNAcentral lists this ribosomal RNA (460 nucleotides) under uncultured bacterium. Its description in RNAcentral is "partial 16S ribosomal RNA". It matches the Rfam family "Bacterial small subunit ribosomal RNA", at positions 338 to 795 of the family's 1533-position model. The record is from RNAcentral.